Lineus longissimus is the source of this 134-nucleotide small nucleolar RNA. RefSeq annotates it as small nucleolar RNA SNORA3/SNORA45 family. The record is from RefSeq and is a predicted model, not a curated record. The transcript has a single exon. Lineage: Eukaryota; Metazoa; Nemertea; Pilidiophora; Heteronemertea; Lineidae.
GGCGAGUCUAGAGUCACCGUUGUGCCUAUUCCCGUGGCAUAUUGGUGCUAAAUGGCUCGGACAGCAACUCUGAACUUAUGCUCAGGCUAUCUAUUUACUGAUUGGGUAAUCUGACACCGAGUUUAGAGACAUUU